This 664-nucleotide long non-coding RNA is filed under the name Mytilus galloprovincialis (Mediterranean mussel). Lineage: Eukaryota; Metazoa; Mollusca; Bivalvia; Mytilida; Mytilidae. The record is from RNAcentral.
UUACCCAAGCAACGAGUUUCAUGGACUUGCAAAGGUUGCACAAUCUAAUUAUUAGGCCUUGAAUGAUUAAGGAUAUAACUCCACCCACUGAUGUGACAUGUGAAAUACAAGUUUGUUUACUUUACUAUCGUGGAAGGUUGUUAAGAGAAAAUAUAUCAUUGUCCGGGUUAAGUAUCUGCGUCAUGAAGAAAGUAUUUUAAGAUGUUUUACUUUAGUCAGUAAAUUUUUAAAUCAUUAUUUAAAAUUGUGAAGUGGGUCUAUAAAUCCUUUUACAAGCCAAUGACCUUUUUCUAACCGAAUGGAAAAUUCAAUCUCUCGUUAGAUGUAUAAAUUACAAUACCAUAUCUUUUGUUUGUCUUUACUUCUACUAGUAUAUUUAUUGCGUUCAAUGAUCUUCAAUGUCGAAGUUUCUAGUUACUUAUUUGAAAGUUAUGAAAGUAUAUUCUAACUGUAAUGUAAUUUCUUAUAUAUAAUAAAGCUUAACAGUCCAAUGACCUAGAUACUAGUAUAAUUUAUGAUGCUGCUACUAAAAACCAGCCGGCGCCAUACACUGGAAAAAUUACAUAUGAACCAAGCAUCAAAAGCACACGGAUUAGUCAAGGUAUAAUGGAUUUAGGCCCACAACCCUAUGAAAUAAUUGUAUUGAUAACAUAUGCAAACUCCA